CGUCUUGAAACACGGACCAAGGAGUCUAGCAUGUGCGCGAGUCAUUGGGAUUAGCGAAACCUAAAGGCGCAAUGAAAGUGAAGGUCAGCCUUGCGCGGACCGAGGGAAGAUGGGCGCUGCGUCCUGCGAAGGCGCGCACGUCCCGCACUCCCGGGGCGUCUCGUUCUCAUCGCGAGAAGAGGCGCACCCAGAGCGUACACGCUGGGACCCGAAAGAUGGUGAACUAUGCCUGGUCAGGACGAAGUCAGGGGAAACCCUGAUGGAGGUCCGUAGCGAUUCUGACGUGCAAAUCGAUCGUCGGAACUGGGUAUAGGGGCGAAAGACUAAUCGAACCAUCUAGUAGCUGGUUCCCUCCGAAGUUUCCCUCAGGAUAGCUGGCGCUCGUCUUGUACGAGUCUCAUCCGGUAAAGCGAAUGAUUAGAGGCAUUGGGGUCGAAACGGCCUCAACCUAUUCUCAAACUUUAAAUGGGUGAGAUCUCCGGCUUGCUCGAACUGUUGAAGCCGCGAGACACGGAUCAGAGUGCCAAGUGGGCCAUUUUUGGUAAGCAGAACUGGCGCUGUGGGAUGAACCAAACGCCGAGUUAAAGCGCCUAAAUCGACGCUUAUGGGAUACCAUGAAAGGCGUUGGUAACUUAAGACAGCAGGACGGUGGCCAUGGAAGUCGGAAUCCGCUAAG
RNAcentral lists this ribosomal RNA (676 nucleotides) under Thaneroclerus nanus. RNAcentral describes it as "eukaryotic LSU rRNA". It matches the Rfam family "Eukaryotic large subunit ribosomal RNA", at positions 650 to 1275 of the family's 3401-position model. The record is from RNAcentral. Lineage: Eukaryota; Metazoa; Arthropoda; Insecta; Coleoptera; Thanerocleridae.